CAGAGGGGGCAAGCGUUGUUCGGAAUUACUGGGCGUAAAGGGCGCGUAGGCGGCCUGUUAAGUCGAACGUGAAAUCCCUGGGCUCAACCCAGGAACUGCGUCCGAUACUGGCAGGCUUGAAUCCGGGAGAGGGAUGUGGAAUUCCAGGUGUAGCGGUGAAAUGCGUAGAUAUCUGGAGGAAUACCGGUGGCGAAGGCGGCAUCCUGGACCGGUAUUGACGCUGAGGCGCGAAAGCCAGGGGAGCAAACGGGAUUAGAUACCCCGGUAGUCCUGGCCCUAAACGAUGAAUGCUUGGUGUGGCGGGUAUCGAUCCCUGCCGUGCCGAAGCUAACGCAUUAAGCAUUCCGCCUGGGGAGUACGGUCGCAAGGCUG
Molecule: ribosomal RNA, 372 nt
Filed under: uncultured organism
Description: bacterial SSU rRNA
Rfam family: Bacterial small subunit ribosomal RNA
Source: RNAcentral